Molecule: unclassified non-coding RNA, 340 nt
Filed under: soil metagenome
Description: partial contains 5.8S ribosomal RNA, internal transcribed spacer 2, and large subunit ribosomal RNA
Rfam family: 5.8S ribosomal RNA (bases 1-120)
Source: RNAcentral
GAUGAAGAACGUAGCGAAAUGCGAUAAGUAGUGUGAAUUGCAGAAUUCAGUGAAUCAUCGAAUCUUUGAACGCACAUUGCGCCCGCCAGCAUUCUGGCGGGCAUGCCUGUUCGAGCGUCAUUUCAACCCUCGACGUCCCCUGGGACGUCGGCCUUGGGGACCGGCAGCACCCCGCCGGCCCUGAAAUGGAGUGGCGGCCCGUCCGCGGCGACCUCUGCGCAGUACAACCACUCGCACCGGGAACCCGACGCGGCCCGCCGUGAAACCCCCAACCUCUGAACGUUGACCUCGGAUCAGGUAGGACUACCCGCUGAACUUAAGCAUAUCAAUAAGCGGAGGA